GCGCACCAGUCGCGAAAACUCCACAAUGUGGGAAACCACGAUGGGGGAACUCCCAGUGCGCACACUUUGUGUGCGCUGUUCUCCUGCCUAAAAAGCAGGAGAAGUAAGGGCCGGGUAAGACGGGUGCCAGCCGCCGCGGUAAUACCCGCGGCCCGAGUGGUGCUCAUUAUUAUUGAGUCUAAAACGUCCGUAGCCGGUCGGGUAGAUUCCUGGGUAAAUCGAACCGCUCAACGGCUCGAAUUCCGGGGAGACCGGCCGACUAGGGACCGGGAGAGGCGUGAGGUACUACUGGGGUAGGGGUAAAAACCUGUAAUCCUGGGAAGAACACCAGUGGCGAAGGCGUUCCGCGAGGACGG
This 356-nucleotide ribosomal RNA is filed under the name uncultured Thermoplasmata archaeon. RNAcentral's name for it is "partial 16S ribosomal RNA". It matches the Rfam family "Archaeal small subunit ribosomal RNA", at positions 330 to 688 of the family's 1478-position model. The record is from RNAcentral. Lineage: Archaea; Methanobacteriati; Thermoplasmatota; Thermoplasmata.